Bos taurus (domestic cattle) is the source of this 2212-nucleotide long non-coding RNA. The record is from Ensembl. Lineage: Eukaryota; Metazoa; Chordata; Mammalia; Artiodactyla; Bovidae.
CUCACACACACACACGGCCUGUUACCACCUGAGGAUGAGGGCACAGCUCAACAGCCUGCAUUUUUGGAAACAAACUCCUCGGGCAGAGCCAUAUUUCGGAACUGCUGGAUUUAUGUGGACACAAUUUAAAACCUUAAAAGUUUGCUCAGAUGUUUAAGAAAGACAUCCCAAUAGAUAAACAGAGAAAGAUGUGAAAAAAUGAUUCAAUUCAUAGCCACCAAAGCCCAUUAGCCCCCUCUGGAACUCUGCAGGCGAUCGCUCUGAUCAAGUUUCCCCAUGCUUCCUCCUAUAUGGACCCACACGUGCCCAGAGAAAAGGUUUGAGAGCAAAGGAACUUUCAGUAGCCUCCUCCCUUCCACCCCUCGGUCUGCCUCCAGAACCCUGCAGGGCUCCUGGGCCACCCCAGCAGAGGUGAUGGUGACCACAGGGGUCCUCAUAGCAUCAGUCACAGCAAAUUCCUGCUCUGAGUCAGGAGAGCACCAGAAGCCUAGGGACGUUCUCACUGAACCCCUGGGAGGAAGCAGUCUUUCCCUUACAUGAGCAAACUCAGGCUCUGAAAGGUUUAAGUCACACCAGUAGCAAAAUCAAAAGGAAAUCUGGGGCUCUCAAAAUCAUCCUGAGCAUCUCCGCCAUUCAUUAAAAACGACAUUUUCUAGUUUUUGUGAAAUCCAACCUAAGUGCAGCCUCAAGACCCAACCCACAGCAAGCCCCUGAAGACCGUCCAAGUCAGCAAGUAAAUAAAACCAAAACACACGUCAUUUUCUCAGAGCCCCAAGACUGGGCCCCUCACUUAACUUCACAAGGAAUCCAUAAAAUCGUGCAGUUAUUCCCGUUUUACAAACAAGCGAACUGAAAUCAGAAACGUCAGGAGAUUUGCCUGAGGGCCAGUGGAUGGGUUUUUGUAGAGUCCCGGCGGUGUUUUCUUUUGCUGGUUUUCCGAAAUGAAAGGUGCAGCUUGAGGCCAGGUGAACACACUUCCAGAUCUCAAGUCUCUCCUGCUCCACCACGAGGACGCCAACUGUCCCCACAGUCUGGGCCCCGAAUCCAGGGCGGCAUCUCGUGGCAGCAGCAGCGAGAACCCGCGGGCCCGCGGGGCUGGACAGGAGCUGGGUGGGCGGUGCCGCGCCUGCGUGGACCACGUGGUCGGGCCGACUGCACUAAACGCCUGGGAAGAUGCGAUCCCUCCGCGGCCCAGCUGUGCGUCGAGUCGUGAAAUGAGGCGAGGCGGAGGGGAAGCAGGAGGAGGGAAGGCUUGGAGCGUAAAGCCAUCGAUUCACACAGCCUGUUUGCCCGCCUCCCCAAGCCUCCAGAGGGUAGAACUCACCUUCUCUUCCUGCACUUGAGGAGAAGAAACAAAACUCCUCCUCCCCACGUGGCAGGAACAGGCCAAGCACAGGGAGGUCACCUGACCAAGUGCCUUCUGGAGCCGGAGACCCCACAGGAGCCUCAGAACCCCCACAGUUGGGCCCGGACUCUCCAAGUGAAUCUGAUGCCCAACCCAGGGUAAGAAACACUGCUCUGAUCCAGCCCGUGUAUCAGACCUCUGGGAACCCAAUACCAGGGGACCAAGUCACCCAGCAGAGAAUGGGAAACUGAGGCCUGGAGACCUGAGGAACGUCCCCAAGUGCACACAGCUGCUAAUAGCACGGUGGCCUCCACUUUGCCGCUCUUCACCUUGAGAACAUAGGCUCUCUGAGGGCAGGGCUCUGGCUUUGCGCCCCAUUUUCCCUCAGGACCCUGCACACCAGGAGGUACCUAACAGGAGGAACGGAGCCCACGUUCUAGAGCCUGCAAGCCACAAGAGAAGCCACAAAAACACGAAGCCCACGCACCACAACAAAGAAUAGUGCAAGGAAGGAUAGUCCCUUCUCGCUUCCGGUAGAGAAACCUGUGUACAGCAACAAAGAAACAGCAGAGCCAUAAAUAAAUAAAUCCAACUCGACACAACAGAUUGAACUGUUAAGCCUCUCUUGAAAUCCAAUAGAACCUGCCGUGCACACCUUGCCUCCCCGGGGCCCAGCAUAGGGUGGCACUCAGAAGGUGCCCAGAAGGUUCCCAUGAACAAGUUCCAGGAGGAGGUCUGUGUGUCCUGCUGUGUGUCCAAGCUGAAGGUCUGCAGAAAGGCCUCUUUCUGGGCCUUUCUGGGGUGUCAGCGGCACCCCAGCCCCCAGCAGGCAUGUGGCCCCUUGGAGAAGGCAGAACAAACUGCAGG